UUGUUUUCAUGUUGUUUUGAUUUUCAAAUCGUUAUUGUUCAUCCUUCCAUUUCUAUAUGUAAAUGCAGGUAUAUUGGAUAUUUUAUCUGGGGACUAAGCAUCUUGAGGCCCUGAUUGAAUUGCACAACAUGACAGUACUACACACCUUUGCAAGGAAUGUUCAGCACUUAAUGCACUCUGUAGUUACUAAUUUAACUGUCAUCAUUUUAGCUACAGCAUUGUAGUAAUGUCCAACGUAUGAACAUGGAAGGAAAGGAAGGAAGGAAGUAAUGUCUGUUGCUAAGCUAUUAGAAAGACAUUCGGCAUUGUCUGAGAAUCUUCGCAGUAGAGAAGAUGCAGAGCAUUUAUCUGAUAUCUAUUCAGAAUGAAUUGGCAGAUUAACAGUCCUUUCUUUAAUUUAUUUGUAUUAUUUGAUUUAUAUCCAUCUUUAAAAAUUGCAGGAUUCUGCAUUUCUUUAAUGUACGAACAUGGAAGGAAAGGAAGGAAUGUCCUGCUAAUUAACGCCAGGCCGCAAGAGAAAGACAGGAGUUGAGGCCUGUGUCCACUACUGAUGACAAACAAUAGUGAUUGAUAUCUAUUGUAUGAAAAUUUGUUUCCAAGUUGGGUCACUGCAGGAUCAAAGAUGAAAAUAUUGUUUGUUUUUAUAUUUUAAAAAUAUAUUUUUAAAAAAAUUAAAUUAAAAAACAAUUAUUACAACAAUCUCAGUCACUUUAAAUUACAUUACAUUGCAGUUAAUGUAUGGACCCACUUCUUUUGUCCCCAUUUGUGUUUUUCCAAGCAACCAUGAGUUUGUGGGUUACAUCACCAUCAAAACACACGACCAAACACGAAAGAAAAACAGCCAAACUCGUCAUUUUCACUAAUGGAAGAAGCCUCAAGGCAAUCAUGGUGUCCACAAGGGCAAUCAAACGAAGCACUCAUAAUUCCCUCUUGAAAAACUGCAUGGUGAUCGCAUAUGGGGAGUUUAUAUAGUUAUGGCCCUUGGGAGUGGCUUUGGUUCAAUGUUUCUACAAACACCUUGUCUUUCUGAUUCAGAUGGUGUUUCUUCUUAAAGGGUGUAGGGAAUAGGAAUUAGUACUUCAAUCAUUUUGGGGUGGAAAAUGAUGGCCAAGGAGACGCUGCAGUACCAGGGCACACCCUUUUGUUUUCCUCAUAUCAAGUUACUCACGGUUAAAUCCUCGUGCUAAUUUUUUUUUACAGCGUGUUAUCAGCAGCCACCCACCCACCUUGCCUUGUCCAAACCAUUGCUGAGGAUUCUGCAUUUCUUUAAUGUACGAACAUGGAAGGAAAGGAAGGAGUGUCCUGCUAAUUAAUGCCAGGCCACAAGAGAAAGAAGGAGUUGAGGCCUGUUUCCUCUACUGAUGACAAACAAUAGCGAUUGAUAUCUAUUGUAUGAAAAUUUGUUUCCAAGUUGGGUCACUGCUGGAUCAAAGAUUUGCAGUUAAUGUGUCCAGCCACUUCUUUUGUCCCCAUUUGUGUUUUGCCUAGCAACCAUGAGUUUGAGGGUUA
This is a long non-coding RNA of Populus trichocarpa (black cottonwood), 1509 nucleotides long. RefSeq lists it as uncharacterized. Lineage: Eukaryota; Viridiplantae; Streptophyta; Magnoliopsida; Malpighiales; Salicaceae. The record is from RefSeq and is a predicted model, not a curated record. The transcript is spliced from 2 exons.